RNAcentral lists this transfer RNA (76 nucleotides) under Citrobacter freundii. RNAcentral describes it as "tRNA-Val". It matches the Rfam family "tRNA". From Rfam's summary of the family: Transfer RNA (tRNA) molecules are approximately 80 nucleotides in length. Their secondary structure includes four short double-helical elements and three loops (D, anti-codon, and T loops). Lineage: Bacteria; Pseudomonadati; Pseudomonadota; Gammaproteobacteria; Enterobacterales; Enterobacteriaceae. RNAcentral also lists the same sequence under 4 other names. The record is from RNAcentral.
GGGUGAUUAGCUCAGCUGGGAGAUCACCUCCCUUACAAGGAGGGGGUCGGCGGUUCGAUCCCGUCAUCACCCACCA